AAAAAUAUGAACUUUCUUAAGUAGUAACUAAUCCCUCUAUACUAAUUUUGUACCCACUGUUUCCUCAAAGUUCUUCAUUUGGUUAGAUUUCACUUAUCUUCUCUGGAAAUUGAAUGCCUUGAUAGCAAAAGCAAAUGUGAAGGCAAAAACAACUACGUAUGCAACGAGCACACCUGCAACGACUGGAAGAAAAUCGUGUCUGAAUCCAAAGUAACGUCUCAAGAAUUGCUCCACGGUUUCUUCAUCAGUUAGUCUACUUUGGAUGUCUCCGAAUUGUGAUGCAACCAAACCAUACAAGGUCCAGGCAACAGGGCAACA
Molecule: unclassified non-coding RNA, 318 nt
Filed under: Hevea brasiliensis (rubber tree)
Lineage: Eukaryota; Viridiplantae; Streptophyta; Magnoliopsida; Malpighiales; Euphorbiaceae
Source: RNAcentral